GUCUGCUGAGAAGAUGAAAAUCAGUCGUUUGCCUGGAGCCACCACUACCUCUCGCUGAUAUUUUCUGCUGAGGAACCAGUAAAUCGAGGGGCUUCAUAAAGUGUUUUGUUGCAUGGCUCUGAGUGAAUUACUUGUAAAGGGAGCAUGGAAUAUAAAAAUUCAUCUUGCAAG
This 171-nucleotide long non-coding RNA is filed under the name Parus major (Great Tit). Its description in RNAcentral is "lncRNA (ENSPMJG00000015338.1)". Lineage: Eukaryota; Metazoa; Chordata; Aves; Passeriformes; Paridae. The record is from RNAcentral.